AUGAGAUACGAAAGGCAAAUGAAAGGGAUUUAAAUGUUUCACCUGUAGCUAAAAACCUAAAAAAAAGAACAUCAAAACAUCAUUCGAUACGAUACGAUACAAUUUCAUGUUUUUAUAUUAUGUACCUAUUCUUAUUUUAUUUUUCCAGCCGAGGAUUGUAAAUUGCGAUGGAAAAAUAUUCGCGAUAACUACUUAAAACAAAAAAGAAAACAAAAGCAAGGAACUGGUUCGGCAGCAUCAACAAGACCAUCAAAAUGGCAUUUAUACGAACAGCUAACAUUUUUGGAACUUCUCAAAUCUGAACGAAGCCGCAUUCAAAAUUGUAAUGUACAGCAAAACACCGAAUCAUCUCAGAAUACUCAGGAUAGCGGCGAUGAAGAUGUUCAAACUGAUUCGGAAUCGCAAUCAAGAAUAAUUGAAGACGACGUAGGAUCACCAGAUUCCAUACAUUUAAAUCAGCCAAAUCCGAAAAUACUAAAAAGAACAAACAUGGACGAUAGAAGCCGUUCAAACACGCCAACUUGCAGCAGUUCAACACCUAGCAACGCAAAAGCGAAAUUAUUACACGAAUUGGAAGAACGGUCUAAACAUCGUCUUCACGUUCUAUCACAAUUAACGCACCAAAAGGAAGAAGAUGAAGUGGAUUUAUUCAUGAGAAGCAUCGCUCUAAUGGUAAAAAAGCUACCUCCCAAUUUAAUAUCGCAAGCAAAGUUACAAAUCCUAACACUAGUGACUAAUUUACAAGCAUCUUCCCCAAUAAUAAAUAUUCCACAUACACAGACACAACCCCACCAACCACAGGCACCAACUCCAACAUUUUCCCUCAAUACUUCCCAUAAUACAAGUACACCUGACGAUCAUACGCCCACUACGUUUAUGACACCCUAUUCAAACGACUAUUACAACAUGAAAUAAACUUAUAUAUUGCUUUUGUUAAUUAAACGUGCAUUUUUGAUAAAA
This is a long non-coding RNA of Onthophagus taurus, 960 nucleotides long. RefSeq lists it as uncharacterized. NCBI's taxonomy places the organism in Eukaryota, Metazoa, Arthropoda, Insecta, Coleoptera, Scarabaeidae. The record is from RefSeq and is a predicted model, not a curated record.